UACGUAGGGCGCAAGCGUUAUCCGGAAUUAUUGGGCGUAAAGAGCUCGUAGGCGGUUUGUCGCGUCUGCCGUGAAAGUCCGGGCUCAACUCCGGAUCUGCAGGCGAUACGGGCAGGCUAGAGUUCGGUAGGGGAGACUGGAAUUCCCGGUGUAGUGGUGAAAUGCGUAGAGAUCGGGAGGAACACCGGUGGCGAAGGCGGCGACCUGGGUAGAUACGUGACGCUGAGGUGCGAAAGCGUGGGGAGCAAACAGG
This 253-nucleotide ribosomal RNA is filed under the name uncultured bacterium. Its description in RNAcentral is "partial 16S ribosomal RNA". It matches the Rfam family "Bacterial small subunit ribosomal RNA", at positions 524 to 776 of the family's 1533-position model. The record is from RNAcentral.